UGGGGAAUAUUGGACAAUGGGCGAAAGCCUGAUCCAGCCAUGCCGCGUGUGUGAAGAAGGCCUUUUGGUUGUAAAGCACUUUAAGUGGGGAGGAAAAGCUUAUGGUUAAUACCCAUAAGCCCUGACGUUACCCACAGAAUAAGCACCGGCUAACUCUGUGCCAGCAGCCGCGGUAAUACAGAGGGUGCAAGCGUUAAUCGGAAUUACUGGGCGUAAAGCGCGCGUAGGUGGUUAUUUAAGUCAGAUGUGAAAGCCCCGGGCUUAACCUGGGAACUGCAUCUGAUACUGGAUAACUAGAGUAGGUGAGAGGGGAGUAGAAUUCCAGGUGUAGCGGUGAAAUGCGUAGAGAUCUGGAGGAAUACCGAUGGCGAAGGCAGCUCCCUGGCAUCAUACUGACACUGAGGUGCGAAAGCGUGGGUAGCAAACAGGAUUAGAUACCCUGGUAGUCCACGCCGUAAACGAUGUCUACCAGUCGCUGGGUCUUUUAAAGACUUAGUGACGCAGUUAACGCAAUAAGUAGACCGCCUGGGGAGUACGGCCGCAAGGUUA
Molecule: ribosomal RNA, 549 nt
Filed under: uncultured bacterium
Lineage: Bacteria
Description: bacterial SSU rRNA
Rfam family: Bacterial small subunit ribosomal RNA
Source: RNAcentral